AUACGGAGGAUCCGAGCGUUAUCCGGAUUUAUUGGGUUUAAAGGGUGCGCAGGCGGCCAUUUAAGUCAGCGGUUAAAUCGUGGGGCUCAACCCCAUUCUGCCGUUGAUACUGGGUGGCUUGAUUGCGGUCGAGGUUGGCGGAAUUCGUUGUGUAGCGGUGAAAUGCAUAGAUAUGACGAAGAACACCGAUUGCGUAGGCAGCUGACCAGACCGCAAAUGACGCUCAUGCACGAAAGUGCGGGGAUCGAACAGGAUUAGAUACCCUGGUAGUCCGCACAGUAAACGAUGAAUACUUGUUUUCGGCGAUAUAAUGUCGGAGGCAAAGCGAAAGCGAUAAGUAUUCCACCUGGGGAGUACGCCGGCAACGGUGAAACUCAAAGGAAAUUACGGGG
This 392-nucleotide ribosomal RNA is filed under the name uncultured bacterium. Its description in RNAcentral is "partial 16S ribosomal RNA". It matches the Rfam family "Bacterial small subunit ribosomal RNA", at positions 523 to 918 of the family's 1533-position model. The record is from RNAcentral.